This 397-nucleotide ribosomal RNA is filed under the name uncultured bacterium. Its description in RNAcentral is "bacterial SSU rRNA". It matches the Rfam family "Bacterial small subunit ribosomal RNA", at positions 28 to 428 of the family's 1533-position model. The record is from RNAcentral.
GACGAACGCUGGCGGCGUGCUUAACACAUGCAAGUCGAGCGGUAAGGCCCUUUCGGGGGUACGACGAGCGGCGAACGGGUGAGUAACACGUGGGUGACCUGCCCUCAGCUCUGGGAUAAGCCCGGGAAACUGGGUCUAAUACCGGAUAUGACUCCAUGACGCAUGUUGUGGGGUGGAAAGCCUUGUGCGGCUGAGGAUGGGCCCGCGGCCUAUCAGCUUGUUGGUGGGGUGAUGGCCUACCAAGGCGACGACGGGUAGCCGGCCUGAGAGGGCGACCGGCCACACUGGGGACUGAGAUACGGCCCAGACUCCUACGGGAGGCAGCAGUGGGGAAUCUUGCGCAAUGGGCGAAAGCCUGACGCAGCGACGCCGCGUGAGGGAUGACGGCCUGGUGUAA